This is a long non-coding RNA of Diceros bicornis minor, 1786 nucleotides long. RefSeq lists it as uncharacterized. The transcript has 3 exons. NCBI's taxonomy places the organism in Eukaryota, Metazoa, Chordata, Mammalia, Perissodactyla, Rhinocerotidae. The record is from RefSeq and is a predicted model, not a curated record.
ACUCCAAUGGCGCCUGUGUCAGCACGCCCACACCGUGCCACAACAAUGGCUGCCGCCAAUGUCCCCAUCCCUGGAGAGGUCUCACCCCUCACCGAGAUGCACUCAGGGCCUAUUAGACCAGCUAGAUGCUUGGGACAGAAGGGAAGCUGAGAUUGGAGGCGUGGGACAGUGCUGUGUAGAAGUUUGGAAGACGGGCUUUGGAUCAGGGAGAAGGGGAAACUGCUCACACAAGAGGGCCAAUGACUUGUCCAAGGUCAUGCUGCAUAUUCACGGCAAAGACUUGGUAAGAAACCAGGUCCUCCAGUCCUAAUCCCAACUCUGAGUCAUUCGUUCACUCCACAAACAGUUAUUGAGCAUCUUCUAUGAGUUCAGCAGAGAUGGAAGAAGAGAUGGAAGACCUGUCUGUCUGUCCUGCCAGGUGGAGUCUCAGACAUCUCUGGAUCCCAGGUGUCAACUAUGGGAUCUGGCACAGAGAAGAAAAGCAGGAGAUAUUUGUGAAAUUGAACAGAUGACAGUCCCUGCCUCAUGGGGUGAACAGCGCUAUGAUAAAAGCCAGCAAAGGAUUUUGAAAGAGUUUAGAGGAGGGUCUGCUCAUCCUCUUGCGGUGGGAAGGCUUUCUAGAGCAGGAAAUACCCUCUCUUUGUCCUGACGGUCGUGAGCAUCUAGCCAGGCAGACAGCAGGGUGGAUGUUCCAAACAGACCAUACAGUAUAAGCAAAGGGCCUUUGAAGUUAAAAAAAAAAUCGCCUAGUGUUGCAGGUGUAGGUUGGGUGUGGUUAACUGUGUGGAUGAACUGUGUGUUGGGUGGGAGUAUGUCUUGAAUCCUCCUUGGCUGUGUUUUCUACACACCCUCUGUUGUGAUCCGACGAUGCACUGUGAGUCAGGCAGUGGAGGGGUUAUCCUCCCUACCUUGCAGGAUAUCUAGGAUUUGAGGUGAUUGGCCUAGAGAGAGCAUUUAUUCAUCUAUUUCUUCAUCACACACAGAACCAACUACAUAAUUCAUGGUGGCCAAUGCAAAAUGAAAACAUGGUACCCUUUCUCCCAAAAUUGUUAAGAAUCUCAAGACAGCAACAGCAGAGCAUUAAUUCAAGUGCAGGGCCCUUCUGGAUGUGGGGCCACAUGCAACUGCUCAGGUCCCAUGCCCAUGAAACCUGUCCUGGUUCCACAGGUAUUUAUUGGGCACUUACUAUAUGCCGGGAGUAGUUCUAGGCACUGGGGACACAGCAGUGAACAAGCCAGAGGUGGUCCUUUGUCUCCUGAAGCCUAGUGAAGGGAAGACACAAUAAACAGGUAAAGGAAUGAAUGAAUGGGAUGGUUUCAAAUGAUGGUCUGAUGAGAUGUUGUGAAGAUCUGGGAAGGAGCAUUCUAGGUAACGCUAAAGCAAAGGAUUUAAACUGAGAACAAGCUUGGAGCAUUCAGGAAUAGGCAACAAUGCUGCAGUGGCCAUAGGGGAGUGAGGUUGUUGUGGCUGGAUAUUAUGAGACCUUGCGGGACACGGAGAGGACUUCAAGUGUUACUCUAAGUGUAGUGGGAGGCACUGGACAGUAUUGAGGAAGGAUGACCAGACGGAAGCCAAGAGCCCUCUGUUCCAAGAUGGCUCUUCACCAACCUCCAUUCCCUAUGGUCUGGAGCUCCAGAGCAUCAGAUGUCUCUAGCUAGUAGUAUGGUUCAAUGAAGAGUGUUGUGGAGAGGUUUGUAUUUGAUUGACACAUACAAGUAGAGCAUUAGAUGACCACGUAUGUAGCUCUCGUGUAACUCGGGCCCGAGAAACCAUGAGAAAAUGGGGA